Molecule: transfer RNA, 77 nt
Filed under: Badhamia polycephala
Lineage: Eukaryota; Evosea; Eumycetozoa; Physariida; Physaraceae
Description: Physarum polycephalum tRNA-Val
Rfam family: tRNA
About the family: Transfer RNA (tRNA) molecules are approximately 80 nucleotides in length. Their secondary structure includes four short double-helical elements and three loops (D, anti-codon, and T loops).
Source: RNAcentral
GCGAGGUUGGUGUAGUUGGUUAUCACAAGUCCUUAACACGGACUGGGCCAUGGGUUCGAUUCCCAUACCUCGUACCA